UACAACUUUCAGCAACGGAUCUCUUGGCUCUCGCAUCGAUGAAGAACGCAGCGAAAUGCGAUAAGUAAUGUGAAUUGCAGAAUUCAGUGAAUCAUCGAAUCUUUGAACGCACCUUGCGCUCCUUGGUAUUCCGAGGAGCAUGCCUGUUUGAGUGUCAUUGAUAUAUCAA
This 169-nucleotide ribosomal RNA is filed under the name Thaxterogaster crypticus. RNAcentral describes it as "Gigasperma cryptica 5.8S ribosomal RNA". It matches the Rfam family "5.8S ribosomal RNA". Rfam says of the family: 5.8S ribosomal RNA (5.8S rRNA) is a component of the large subunit of the eukaryotic ribosome. It is transcribed by RNA polymerase I as part of the 45S precursor that also contains 18S and 28S rRNA. Functionally, it is thought that 5.8S rRNA may be involved in ribosome translocation. The record is from RNAcentral. Lineage: Eukaryota; Fungi; Basidiomycota; Agaricomycetes; Agaricales; Cortinariaceae.